Molecule: long non-coding RNA, 4101 nt
Filed under: Nicotiana tabacum (common tobacco)
Lineage: Eukaryota; Viridiplantae; Streptophyta; Magnoliopsida; Solanales; Solanaceae
Description: long non-coding RNA (NTAB_LNC006431)
Rfam family: MIR159 microRNA precursor family (bases 1871-2066)
Source: RNAcentral
UAAAAGGUCAUAAACCCACGACAACAAUGGUCAAAAGUUCAACAACCCCAGACAUUACCCCUUUGUGUAUUCCUAUUGGUGCACGGUGUCUUCACUGUCUCCCCCCGCUCUUCCCUCAGUUGUUCAGUUCAGUGCGCUCCAGAAGGUAUGAAUGACUGCUCAUCUUUUCUUCAGACCCUUUUCUUUUCCCCUUUUGCAGUAGAUGAUCUGAUAACUCAUGAACUCACCUUUUCUGUUUGUUGUAUGGUUGUAAAUACUAUAUUUUCUACUAUCUUCUUUCUUUCUCUCUGUCUAUGAUGUGUGAAAGAUUUUGUUGACAUAUUAAAGUCGCUUUCUAAUUCCUCACUCUCAUGGCGAAAGCGACCCUUCAUUUCCCCCUUUUGUGUAUUUAUUUAUACAAUCUCUUCUCUUCCUUAUUUAGUGCAACUCCCUUUUCUCCACCUAUUAUUCCUUCAUUCAAAUAUAAUCUUAUCAUCUCAUUUCAUUUUCCUCAGAAAUUAUUAUUUUUUCAUUCAGCCAAACGUUGUUUAUCUUCUUCCCCCUUUCUUUUUCUUAUCUUUCCCCUCUUUUAUCUGCUCUUCUUUUGUUUUGUUCUGAUAGUUCUAUUUAUUGCUGCGGAAGUGAAGUGACAUUCAGAAAACACUUGAAAUAAUGGGAAAAUGAUAGCUCACCAAGCAUUAUUGGAGACUUAGGGUUUUCAUUAUUGAGCAGAUAAGUGCAGUUUCAGAUAGUUUUUCGAUCUAUUAUCAUUUAGCUGCUUAAGAUUCAUUUGUUCUAUUAAUUUCUGUCUAAGCUAAGUUGAUGGAACGCUAUCUUCUAGGUUUUUUUUUUUUCAGAUUACUUAUCUAAGAUCCUGUUUAUUUCAGAUUGAUACUAUUAGCAUCAUUAUGAUUCUGAAAUAUUUUUUUUCUUUUUCUAUCUAUUUUGUUAGUAAAACCACUACUCAUUAAAAUGGCAAAUUAAAGAUAUUUUUUUUUAAUCUAUUGUAGGGUUUGUUUUAAGAGUUGACUCUGCCCCCAGUUAAGAGAUUGCAUUUUGUAUAGUGAUUUUGUUUUCUAUUAUUUGAAAUCGUUACCAUGGGACUUUGCUAUUUCUUCUGUAGUGCUUUUGAACCCAUGGUAAAUGUCUUUGAAAGGUUUAAUUUUUUCAUUUUUAUUUUUAAAAAAAUCCACUUUAAGUAUCUUCUCAGGUUUCAUAUGUCAUAUGGAUAUGAUAUUAAAACUGAUGACUUUGGUAUGCCAUCACUAGAGACCACAAAAUGUCUACUGCUACUUUUCUUACUUUUGUGAUUCAUAAUCCCUCUCAUGAGACCUAGGAUUUGCCUGGGAAUUUGGGUAGUUGUUUUUUUUGCUGUACCUUUGUUAACUCUUAUAUAUCAAAUUAACCAUAAUGAGAAUCUCCAUUUUUUGUGGAAAUUUUCAAGUUCACUGUUAAUAGGUUAUUAAGAAUGUAUUUUUAGUUCCCAGCUCUUCAUUCUUCAGCUAUUAUGCAAGCAUGAUUUAGGUUGUGUCUAUAGCAUUUGCAUUUCAUUUUCUUUCUAAAGCUAAAUGCAGACUGUUUUGCUUCUGUUAUGUGAAAUUCGGGCCAAACUUCUUUCCUUUUACUCUCGCAAUAUGAUUCUGAGACAUCAUGGUGAAUUGUUGCCAGGUAUUACUGGAUACUUGUCAUAGUGAUUGAGUUUAUGAUUUGUCACAUUUCUAUCCCUUUUUUCCAGUUGAAUAUUAGUUGUGUGAAAAGUUGAUGUUGGUAGAUCAAGUUCUUUUAUUUAAGCCUCUUCAGCUUAUGUAUUCUAUGUAAGAUUUGGUGAAUGCUGCUAUUCAGUUGAAGAACUUGGUUAUUACUGGACUUGUAAAAGUUUUGUGCAUUAAGGAAUGGUCUAAGAGAGCUUCCUUCAGCCCACUCAUGGAGGAGAACUGGGGUUGAAUUAGCUGCCGCCUCAUUCAUCCAACCACUCAGUAGAAAGGAAUAGGUUUUGUGCUACUGUGAUUGAGUGAAUGAUGCGGGAGAUAGUUUUCUAUUCCUCUCUUUCCUUGCUUGGACUGAAGGGAGCUCCUUUUUUCCAUUUUCUUCAUUUUCAUCUCUUCUUAUAGCCUUGUACUAAUUUUCAAACAAUGAAAACCUAAUUUUCAGAAGAGCUCUCUCAUUCCCGUCUUCCCUCGGACAAGCCGGCUGUCCCUCAAUUCUUAUCAUUAUGUUUGGUGUUGGAUUAUAACACAUUGUGGAGAUUUGCAAGAUAAGAUUUCAGGCACUUCUGCUUUAAAUUUUCCAAUGAUUGUCUCUUGCAGGAAUGCAAGUAAGGCUGCGUACAAUUGACCUUUGUGGUCUGGCCCUUCCCCGGACUCCGCGUAUAGUGGGAGCUUAGCACCAAUCUGCCCUUUUUAUUGUCUCUAACAUCUUAAUUAGUUACAUGUUAUAAUAAAUAUGCGAUGAUAAGUCUACUUCUGUUUCAUUCAGAUAUAACUCCAAGAGUUAUGAAUUGCCAUGUUUUCCAUUUUCACUAGGCAGUUGGCCCUUUGUCGGCACCCCCGGUCUCCACCACCAUUAUCGGUUAGGCAUACUUCUCCGUUUACUUCCAAAUAUCAAAGACCACUCCAUAUGGCUGUAUUAUCAUGUCUUUGUACAAUUAUAUUGACAUUUAUAUCAUCUGUUUACUGUCUGUUUACUGUCUCUGCUAUAAUGUUAUAUCUGCUGCAUGCAAUAUGUUUAUGUAUUCUGUCUAAACUGAUUGGAAUUGGAUCAGAGAUCCACCUACCUAGUUGCUGUAGAAAGCUCCUUUUCUGCUACAUAGAUUACUUUGACGUUCACAUAUCUCUUACACAAGUUAAGGCUUUACUCUUUAGAGAGAUAAUAUACAUGGCUCUUACAAACUGAACAAACAACUUUCUUGCAGUUUCUGAUUUGUGGAUUAAGCAUUUACAAAUGCAUAUACGAUUUUUUGAUCAGUUAAAGAAAAACAUAUGUAAAAGAAAACAGUAUAUGCAUUUGUAAAUGCUUGUUCCCAAAACAAAUUGCAUAUAUAGUAGUAUCACACGUAUAGCAGUUUAAAUUGAGGUGAAAGCUGCUUCUUGCCCUUAAAAUUUUCAAAUAUUUUGCAUGGCUCUGAGACUGAAGACAGCAAAACGUGAUGAGCACCAUGUUUCCCCCCCUUUUCCUAGGGCAAGCUUGUAAUGAAGAUUACAUCAUUGAAAUGCAUUGGCUGCUUUUUUAAAUGGCAAGUAGGUUAUGGAAAGUACAUAUUCUUGUGUUAUAUAUGUAUUAAUGAAAUGUUUUGGUCCUUUUCCCUUGAGCACUUGUACUAUAUUAAUAUGCUGAUAACUAGGUCAUGUUAUGUAAUCUGACAAUGUUAAAUGAUAUAGACUUGGUACCAAUUGAUUUUGCCAAUUAUGGAGGGGGGGGACCUCAGGGUCCAAAUCCUGAUUAAGGUAAUCAGCUUUAGUUUGAUAUUAUUUUGCAUCAUUAUAUAGUGUUUUUAUAAGGUUGUGUCCGGCAUAAUUUAUCUAGGAAGUACCAAUAGAUUCUGUCUGUAGUGUGGUCCCCUACCCUUUUGUCAUGCAGUUUUGAUGCCUUCAUUUUUGCUUUCUUUUGUAUGCAUUCUAAAACCUAUUCUGUAUUAUAAUAUAAUAUGAUGCAUUAUUGAUCUCUCCUGUUCUCAGAGGAAGCCUAUUAGGUGUUCUUUUAAUUUACUACUACAGUAUUAUUUUUCCUUGUGACCAUUCAUUGCCUACAUACUUCCUUAAGGGUUCACAGCUUGCUUGUGUUCAAGGUUUAGUAAAAGAAGCUUGGAGGAAGAAAGGUGAGGAACUGAGAAGCUGCACUUGCUGUGAUUCAUGGUGGUCAGUGGCGGAGCUAGUGUGUUUUAUUAUGUGUUUGGCAGAACCCGGUGGCUUUCGGCCAAAAGUUUAUACGUGUGUUAAGAAAUUUAUUUAAUAUGUAUAAAUAAUUUAUCCAGAACUCACUAAGCUGUUUUUUUCUAGAACUCAAAAUCCAUAAACCUAAAACUUUGGCCCCGCUGAUGUUAUUCUUUGAAUUUGGUGUGUCCUGUUUUAUGAUGUCAUUUAUACAGUAACAGAUAUAAAGCAUAAGAACUUUUUGGCUAAUUUU